This 84-nucleotide transfer RNA is filed under the name Nematostella vectensis (starlet sea anemone). It matches the Rfam family "tRNA". Rfam says of the family: Transfer RNA (tRNA) molecules are approximately 80 nucleotides in length. Their secondary structure includes four short double-helical elements and three loops (D, anti-codon, and T loops). The record is from Rfam by way of RNAcentral. Lineage: Eukaryota; Metazoa; Cnidaria; Anthozoa; Actiniaria; Edwardsiidae.
ACCAGGAUGGCCGAAUGGUUAAGGCGUUGGACUUAAGUUCAAAUGUACGAAUUGUACGCGUGGGUUCGAACCCCACUCCUGGUA